AGUGAACGCUGGCGGUAGGCCUAACACAUGCAAGUCGAACGGCAGCACAGUAAGAGCUUGCUCUUACGGGUGGCGAGUGGCGGACGGGUGAGGAAUACAUCGGAAUCUACUUUUUCGUGGGGGAUAACGUAGGGAAACUUACGCUAAUACCGCAUACGACCUACGGGUGAAAGCAGGGGAUCUUCGGACCUUGCGCGAUUGAAUGAGCCGAUGUCGGAUUAGCUAGUUGGCGGGGUAAAGGCCCACCAAGGCGACGAUCCGUAGCUGGUCUGAGAGGAUGAUCAGCCACACUGGAACCGAGACACGGUCCAGACUCCUACGGGAGGCAGCAGUGGGGAAUAUUGGACAAUGGGCGCAAGCCUGGUCCAGCCAUACCGCGUGGGUGAAGAAGGCCUUCGGGUUGUAAAGCCCUUUUGUUGGGAAAGAAAAGCAGCAGGUUAAUACCCCGCUGUUCUGACGGUACCCAAAGAAUAAGCACCGGCUAACUUCGUGC
This 493-nucleotide ribosomal RNA is filed under the name uncultured bacterium. RNAcentral describes it as "partial 16S ribosomal RNA". It matches the Rfam family "Bacterial small subunit ribosomal RNA", at positions 29 to 508 of the family's 1533-position model. The record is from RNAcentral.